Molecule: ribosomal RNA, 253 nt
Filed under: uncultured bacterium
Lineage: Bacteria
Description: partial 16S ribosomal RNA
Rfam family: Bacterial small subunit ribosomal RNA
Source: RNAcentral
GACGUAGGGCGCGAGCGUUGUCCGGAUUUAUUGGGCGUAAAGAGCUCGUAGGCGGCUUGUUGCGUCGACUGUGAAAACCCGCGGCUUAACUGCGGGCUUGCAGUUGAUACGGGCAGGCUAGAGUUCGGUAGGGGAGACUGGAAUUCCUGGUGUAGCGGUGAAAUGCGCAGAUAUCAGGAGGAACACCAGUAGCGAAGGCGGCACUCUGGGCCGGUACUGACGCUGAGGAGCGAAAGCGUGGGGAGCGAACAGG